GUGAGGAAUAUUGGUCAAUGGACGCAAGUCUGAACCAGCUAUGCCGCGUGCAGGAAGAAGGUUCUAUGGAUCGUAAACUGCUUUUGUACAGGAAGAAAUUAUCCCUCGUGAGGGAGCUUGACGGUACUGUAAGAAUAAGGAUCGGCUAACUCCGUGCCAGCAGCCGCGGUAAUACGGAGGAUCCAAGCGUUAUCCGGAAUCAUUGGGUUUAAAGGGUUCGUAGGCGGUUUUGUAAGUCAGUGGUGAAAGUUUGCAGCUUAACUGUAAAAUUGCCAUUGAUACUGCAAGACUUGAAUGUUUGUGAAGUAGCUAGAAUAUGUAGUGUAGCGGUGAAAUGCUUAGAUAUUACAUGGAAUACCGAUUGCGAAGGCAGGUUACUAACAAAUUAUUGACGCUGAUGGACGAAAGCGUGGGGAGCGAACAGGAUUAGAAACCCGAGUAGUCC
RNAcentral lists this ribosomal RNA (445 nucleotides) under uncultured bacterium. RNAcentral describes it as "partial 16S ribosomal RNA". It matches the Rfam family "Bacterial small subunit ribosomal RNA", at positions 354 to 796 of the family's 1533-position model. The record is from RNAcentral.